GCCGGUGCAGGCAGCGCCGGCGGCGCCGACAUUGGACAAGGACGCGAUUACUGGAACUGGUACUGCGCGCUGACGCCCAGGAUCCAGUUGCGGCCAGGAGCCGCUUCGUAAUAGCGGCGAUUGGUGUCGCCCACGAUGACGGAGCCGACGUAGUCGCGGUCGAACAGGUUGUUCAGGCGAGCGAACUGGCGCAGCUUCCAACCGCCCAGUUGCUGGCUCGCCUGCACGCGGGCGUUGACGAUCGCAUAGCCCGGCGCCGGCGUGGCGCUGUUGGUGUCUUCGGCGUACACGCGGCUGUUGGCGAUGGUCUCGAGCGCCGCGCCGUAGCGGCCGGCCGCUUCCUUCCAACCGAAUUCGCCGUAGAAGCUGGUCUUCGGCAGGCCGGGCAGGCGGCUGCCUUUCGGCACCGCGCCAAAGGCCUCGUCAUAGACCGCGUGCAGCAUGCUCAGGGCCAGGCGCGCAUUCCAGCCGGCGCCGAGUUCGGCGUCUACCGACAACUCGCCGCCCUGGCGCAGGGUGGCGCUGGCGUUGCGGUAGCUGGUGCGUCCGCCCGAUGAGGCGUCGACCACCAAUUCGUCCUUCGUCUUCACCUGGAACACCGCGGCGUUCACGCGCACGCCGCUGGCCACCAUGGCUUUCACGCCGGCUUCGAGAUGGGUGCCGAUCGCCGGUUCGAGGGCGAAAUUGAAGCCGCCGCCGGUGCCCGAAUAGAACGAUUCGUUCAUGGUCGGCGUCUCGAAGCCGCGCGCCGCGCUGGCGUACACGUUCAGGGUCGGCGACACUUUAUAGAGCACGCCCACCAGCGGCGUCGUGUGGCGGAAGUCGGCGCCGCCGCUGUCGUCGCCGUUGGAGAGGAAGUUGUCCUUGACGUCGAAGUCCACGCGGCUAUGGCGCACGCCGCCGCUCAGCACCCAGCGGUCGCGCUCCCACUCCAGCUGCACGUAAGGAUCGACGCUGGUCACUUCGUUCUGCUCGUCGCGCCGCAGGUUGCCCUUCACGCCGAAGGUAUCGCCGACGAAGUUUUCGAAACCCUGGCGCGCAUCCUUCGAGCGCGCCAGUUCCAGGCCGGCCGUGGCGCGCAUGGCGCCGCCGGCGACCUGGCGCACCGCGCGCCAGUUGGCGUCGAUGCCGUAGAAAUCGCGGUCGAAGUCGAUCACGCCGCCCGAGUGGCUGCUCGGCGCCUGGAAGCCGCGCGAGAACGACUGGUACUGGAUGACGCGGCGGUUGCCGCCGUAGGCGGUCACCUGCAGGCGGUCGGAGCCGAACGUCUGUUCAUACGUCGCGCCGAACUGCUGGUGGUCGAUGCUCUUGCGCGUGUCGUAGCGAUCGGCCAGCGUGCGCUGGGGCGUCUGCGUGUCGGUGGCGUCGAUCUCGCCCGCGCGCGGGUCGCGCUGGUAGGUGGCCCAGGUGACGCCGAGCGGGUCUUGCGUAUCGUCCUGGCGCAGGCCGCUCGCGGUCAGCACCAGGCGGCUGGUCGACGAGGGUUCGACGACCAGCUUGGCGUAGGCCUGCUUGCGCGUCGCGGCGCUGUGGUCGCGGUAGCCGUCGGUCUCGAAACGCGAGGCAUCGAGCAGAUAGCCGAUGCCGCCGCUGCGGCCGGAGGCAUUGGUGUCGAACUUGCGCUGGCCAUAGCUGCCGCCGGUGAAGCUGGCUUCGACCGUGGGCGUAUCGGUCGGUUCGCGCGUGAAGAGCUGGACCACGCCGCCGGAGUGGUUGCCAUACAAGGCGGACAUGGGGCCGCGCAGCACUUCGAUGCGCUCGGCCAGAUCCAGGUUGAAGGUCGCGGCCUGACCUUGGCCAUCGGGCAUGGUGGCCGGGAUGCCGUCCGCCACGAGGCGCACGCCGCGCACGCCGAAGGCGGAGCGGGUGCCGAAACCGCGCGAAGAGAUCUGCAGGUCUUGCGCGUAGUUCUCGCGAUUGCGCACCACGAUGCCCGGCACGGCGACCAGGGCUUCGGAGGCGUUGACGCGCAGCUGGGUGUCGCCGAUCUGCGCCGCAUCGACCACGUCGACCGAGGCCGGCAGGUCGAAACUCGUGUGCUCGGCGCGGGUGCCACUGACCACGACCACGUUCAUCGGGUCGCGAAUCUCUUCGGCAAGGGCGGCCAGCGGCCAGCAGGCGCAGACGGCGGCGAUCGCCGUACGGCGCAAGACGGUGUGAUUCAUUAUUUCUCCAUGAGUGCGUAGCAAGCGCGAGAAGGGAAGGCCUUGCCAAUCAGCCAAGGAAUAUACCUUGCAAGGGAGUAUUACGUGCGCACAGAAACAAUUCGGCAAACUGAUGACUUGCUGAAAUGCGGAUAGAUGUUUCGAUCAGGGUCUUGCGGAACCCUGUCGAGGUUUGCUAUAGUUCGCGUCCGCUUCGGCAACGGCCGAAAAAUGUUAACGUAAUCAAGUGGUUACGAUGGCAAGGUCGGCAGAGAAAUCUGAGACGAAGCGAAAUGAGGGGUUGACGAGUAGCGCGAAACACUGCAUAAUCUCAUUCCUCUGCUGCUGACGAACACAACGAUUCGCAACGAUGCAGCAAGAAGAAGCACCGAAUUCUGAUCUUUAAAAAUUAACAGUCGAUAAGUGUGGGCGUUUGAUGAAGGUGCCAGCUGACUUGUUCAGCUGCAUACUUAAAAUAUCAA
Molecule: ribosomal RNA, 2626 nt
Filed under: Massilia timonae CCUG 45783
Lineage: Bacteria; Pseudomonadati; Pseudomonadota; Betaproteobacteria; Burkholderiales; Oxalobacteraceae
Description: 23S ribosomal RNA
Source: RNAcentral